RNAcentral lists this ribosomal RNA (468 nucleotides) under uncultured bacterium. RNAcentral describes it as "partial 16S ribosomal RNA". It matches the Rfam family "Bacterial small subunit ribosomal RNA", at positions 28 to 507 of the family's 1533-position model. The record is from RNAcentral.
GACGAACGCUGGCGGCGUGCUUAACACAUGCAAGUCGAACGGAACCGCCCUGAUUUUGUGCGGUGCUCGAGUGGAGAACGGGUGAGUAACACGUGUGUAACCUGCCCUUCACUUUGGGAUAACCUAAGGAAACUGGGGCUACUCUCGGAUAGGAUCUCCCGCUGCAUGGUGGGGGUUGGAACGUUUCGGCGGUUGGGGAUGGACUCGCGGAUUACCAGCUUGUUGGUGGGGUAGUGGCAUACCAAGUCUUUGACCGGUAGCCGACCUGGGAGGGGGACCGGCCACAUUGGGACUGAGAUACGACCCAGACUCCAACGGGAGGCAGCAGGGGGGAGUAUUGCACAGUGGGCGGAAGCCUGAUGCGACAACGCCGCGGGCGGGAUGACGGCCUGCUGGUUGUAAACCGCAGUCGCCUGUGACGAAGCGUGAGUGACGGUAAUGGGAAAAGAAGCACCGGCUAACUACGUG